UGCUAUGUUUGAAGCUAUUCUGCUUCCUUGG
This 31-nucleotide non-coding RNA is filed under the name Mus musculus (house mouse). The record is from RNAcentral. Lineage: Eukaryota; Metazoa; Chordata; Mammalia; Rodentia; Muridae.